CCUACGGGAGGCAGCAGUGAGGAAUAUUGGACAAUGGUCGAAAGACUGAUCCAGCCAUGCCGCGUGCAGGAAGACGGCCCUAUGGGUUGUAAACUGCUUUUGUUUGGGAAGAAACCUUUCUACGUGUAGAAAGCUGACGGUACCAUACGAAUAAGCACCGGCUAACUCCGUGCCAGCAGCCGCGGUAAUACGGAGGGUGCAAGCGUUAUCCGGAUUUAUUGGGUUUAAACGGGUCCGUAGGCGGACUUAUAAGUCAGUGGUGAAAUCCUGCAGCUCAACUGUAGAACUGCCAUUGAUACUGUAAGUCUUGAAUUCGGUUGAAGUGGGCGGAAUAUGGCAUGUAGCGGUGAAAUGCUUAGAUAUGCCAUAGAACACCGAUUGCGUAGGCAGCUCACUAAGCCUGGAUUGACGCUGAGGGACGAAAGCGUGGGUAGCGAACAGGAUUAGAUACCCUGGUAGUCCACGCCGUUAAACCGGAUGAUUACUCGACAUUAGCGAUACACGUUAGUAGUNAUAGAGAAGANAUAAGUAA
This 532-nucleotide ribosomal RNA is filed under the name uncultured bacterium. Its description in RNAcentral is "bacterial SSU rRNA". It matches the Rfam family "Bacterial small subunit ribosomal RNA", at positions 338 to 867 of the family's 1533-position model. The record is from RNAcentral.